Molecule: long non-coding RNA, 1368 nt
Organism: Ahaetulla prasina
Lineage: Eukaryota; Metazoa; Chordata; Lepidosauria; Squamata; Colubridae
Exons: 4
Source: RefSeq, a predicted model, not a curated record
GCGGAAUUCGCAGGCUGGGGCGCUGAGUCUCUCCUGGGCCGCACCAACUACGUAGCGCCAGGACCGUCGAGCCCCGAAACCGCCCGCUCGCGGCCACUCCCAAGCCAGAGCGGGAAAGCUCAGCCAGGUAGUCGCCAGCCACCCACGAACCCGCUUCCCGAUAGUUCUUCCCACAACUCCCGUGCGCUUCUCUCCUCGCCAAGAGAGCCUUCCUCUGACAAGGUCCUCCCGCCCCCCACCUCACAACAACCCCUUACUUUGCCCGGCAUCCAGGCUUAAAGGGGACGCCGCCUCUGUGGGCGCCGGGGGAAAAAAAAGCGCGCGGGAAAGAAGCGAGAGGUCCGGCUGAGAAAGUUGAAGAGGACGAGCGAAGCAAGAGGAAUCACUCACUUCCAUCUCAAAACAUGAAACUGGAGCUCUACACUUAUUGUCAAGUCCUGCAAGAUUUCUACAGUAUACAGCUGGCAAGCUAAUGUGAGAGAGCAUGUGAGAAGCAUAGACGUCUGUAGAAGUGAUGUCACAAAGCAUAUCGAAAAGGGGUGGAGCUUAUGUCACAACACUGCAACGAUGCUAUUGUUAUUCUGCUCUUUGCCACUCUCCUCCAGGAUGUCGCUAGUGAGAAGUAACGGAUUCCCCUGUGCAGCUUUGUCUAACUGACUAGGGGCAGUGCUCUUCUUCGUUUCUUAGCAGAGGGAGAGACGCAGGAACCUGAAACUUGGACCAGGAGAUGCCAGAGUUGAAGAAAAAGAACUGGAAAAAAUCAUGAAAUACCACGACCUGGCCAUCGAAACUACACGGCUAUGGAUGAAACAUGUAACAGUGAUACCCAUUGUCAUCGGGGCACUUGGUAUCAUGUCCAAAAAUUUUAUAAGAUACAUCAACAAAUUGCAGCUUCCUGCAAUAACACCAGCGGAACUGCAAAAAACUGUGCUACUUGGAACAUCGUACAUCUUAAGGAGGUGCUUGGCUGAUAUCUAGGACACCGGCAGCAACCCGAAUCAACCAUUAGCACCAGUCAAUGGUAUUUGUGAUGCAUUUUUGAAUGUUCAGUUGACUGAGUUUCAUGUUUCAUGAAUAAAGUAAAUAAUAAUAAUAAUAAAAAAACCUUUUAAACAAUAAACUUACAGGACACAGAGAAUCAGUAUUAUUAUGGUUGCUUGCACAGUCAGCCAGAUGUUGAGACUUGAUUUGACAUUUUUAUCCACCCAUUGAGUCCUUCCCAAAGAACUGAGAUAGGCAGAUCUUAUUGUUAAAGGUAUCAUCACAGGAUGUAAGUUGUUCCAAGUAAACCUGCCUUUUGCAAUUGACCAAUGGAGAUUUUUGUAAAUGCUGAUGGUUUCAAAUGUUCAAAGUCCCAGAGCACUUUAU